Molecule: ribosomal RNA, 253 nt
Filed under: uncultured bacterium
Lineage: Bacteria
Description: partial 16S ribosomal RNA
Rfam family: Bacterial small subunit ribosomal RNA
Source: RNAcentral
GACGGAAGGUGCAAGCGUUGCUCGGAAUCACUGGGCGUAAAGGGUGCGUAGGCGGCCGUGCAAGUCUGGCGUGAAAGCCCCGGGCUCAGCCCGGGAAGUGCGCUCGAAACUGCGCGGCUCGAGUGCCGGAGGGGAGAGUGGAAUUCCUGGUGUAGCGGUGAAAUGCGCAGAUAUCAGGAGGAACACCAAUAGCGAAGGCAGCUCGCUGGGACGUUACUGACACUGAGGCGCGAAAGCGUGGGGAGCGAACAGG